This 1154-nucleotide long non-coding RNA is filed under the name Glycine max (soybean). RNAcentral describes it as "long non-coding RNA (GMAX_LNC000614)". Lineage: Eukaryota; Viridiplantae; Streptophyta; Magnoliopsida; Fabales; Fabaceae. The record is from RNAcentral.
CGGCUAUUACUUUUUGACUUUUGGAAUGCUCAAUUCAAAGUGUAAAAUUACAUUCUAGAAUGCACACUUUUUUUGGUGACCAAGCUGGAAGGUAAAAGAAAAAACAUUCUAGAAAUUAUGUAGGAAGUAACUUGGAAGUGCAGGAAGUAACAACCUUGAUAGACGACGACAAAGAGGGAGAUACAAUUAUAAAUCCAAUUGUUCUAACAAUUUACAUACAGUUACCUUAAAAACAGUGUCGACACACAUGACCACUUCUAUUGUGGGUGACUACCACGGGUCCUGCAGCGUGCGAAAGAUUUGUAGAACGUCAAAUAUACCCCUCACGUAAUGUAUGAUCCAGAUUUGUGCCAUUUACAAUGUAUCAACAGGGUAUGGGAUCUUCUUUUAAAAUAUUAGUAAAUGAUAUUCAAAAUACAGGUUUACUCUGUGUACAGUAAUGGACCCCAUGUGUUGGGCAUGUCCAUGGGAAACAAGGUCCUUAUGCUAAUUGCCUUUGUUGUUUUGUUAUGAGAGAGUGAGUAGAUCUUUUGCCUUAAGUGAGCUUAGGAAUAUAGUAAACAUCUAAAAAGGACAAAUUAAAUAUGGAGACGGAUCCAAUGUCUGCUAAUGGCAUUGGGGUACCAUCACCAUUCAUGACCGAUAUAAGCAAGACAGGAUUUAAAGACAUAAAAGACUUAGGAUCAUAUGACAUGUGUUGUGACGCUCCAGAAUCAAGAAUCCAAAUGGAAAUCAUACCUGACAAACUAGAGGAAGACAAACCUUUUAAGGAGGAGGUAGACAUGGCAUGCGACUGAGUAGCAAGAAAUAUUUGAAACCAUUCUACAAGAUCAACCACUUAAGAGGUGCAGCAGAAGUGGAUGUGUAUCCAGUACCAGGAACAACAACAUUGGAUGACAGAGCAACAAAGAUCAAUGGAGGAGUAGAGAAAAUUCCUAUAUCAAAACCAGAAUUAGACUUAAGUCGUAUUUCUUUUGUCAACCACUCAUUAACUACAACAUCAACAUUGGGAAGGGGAUGACGUUGUUAUAUCAUCCCACGAAGCCCUUCAAAAUCGUCUCGAAGGGUCAUAAAAAAUUGAACCAAACACGUUGCUCUCUAAAGUCAGUAUAAGUUUUGAGUGCUUGCAUUUCUGUAGGUCCACUAAGAGCCAG